RNAcentral lists this transfer RNA (70 nucleotides) under Fukomys damarensis (Damara mole-rat). It matches the Rfam family "tRNA". From Rfam's summary of the family: Transfer RNA (tRNA) molecules are approximately 80 nucleotides in length. Their secondary structure includes four short double-helical elements and three loops (D, anti-codon, and T loops). The record is from Rfam by way of RNAcentral. Lineage: Eukaryota; Metazoa; Chordata; Mammalia; Rodentia; Bathyergidae.
UUAUGCAGCUCAGUGGUAGGGUACUUGCCUAGUAUGCAUGAAGCCCUGGGUUCAAUUCCUGGUACAAAAA